RNAcentral lists this ribosomal RNA (263 nucleotides) under uncultured bacterium. RNAcentral's name for it is "partial 16S ribosomal RNA". It matches the Rfam family "Bacterial small subunit ribosomal RNA", at positions 524 to 782 of the family's 1533-position model. The record is from RNAcentral.
UACGUAGGGUGCAAGCGUUAAUCGGAAUACUGGGCGUAAAGCGUGCGCAGGCGGUUUUGUAAGUUUGUCGUGAAAGCCCCGAGCUCAACUCGGGAACUGCGUCCGAUACUGGCGGGCUUGAAUCCGGGAGAGGGGAUGCGGAAUUCCAGGUGUAGCGGUGAAAUGCGUAGAUAUCGUAAGGAAGACCAGUGGCGAAGGCGGGUCGUCUGGACAGUUCCUGACGCUGAGGCACGAAGGCCAGGGGAGACAAACCGGGGAGUUGA